RNAcentral lists this transfer RNA (87 nucleotides) under Periweissella ghanensis. Its description in RNAcentral is "tRNA-Leu". It matches the Rfam family "tRNA". From Rfam's summary of the family: Transfer RNA (tRNA) molecules are approximately 80 nucleotides in length. Their secondary structure includes four short double-helical elements and three loops (D, anti-codon, and T loops). RNAcentral also lists the same sequence under 1 other name. Lineage: Bacteria; Bacillati; Bacillota; Bacilli; Lactobacillales; Lactobacillaceae. The record is from RNAcentral.
UGCGGGUGUGGCGGAAUUGGCAGACGCGCAGGACUAAGGAUCCUGUGGUAGAAAUACCGUGGAGGUUCGAACCCUCUCACCCGCAUC